UACGGAGGAUGCAAGCGUUAUCCGGAUUCAUUGGGUUUAAAGGGUGCGUAGGCGGAAGAAUAAGUCAGUGGUGAAAGCCUGCGGCUUAACCGUAGAAUUGCCAUUGAUACUGUUUUUCUUGAGUAUAGUUGAAGUGGGCGGAAUGUGUAAUGUAGCGGUGAAAUGCUUAGAUAUUACACAGAACACCAAUUGCGAAGGCAGCUCACUAAGCUGUUACUGACGCUGAGGCACGAAAGCGUGGGGAGCAAACAGG
Molecule: ribosomal RNA, 253 nt
Filed under: uncultured bacterium
Lineage: Bacteria
Description: partial 16S ribosomal RNA
Rfam family: Bacterial small subunit ribosomal RNA
Source: RNAcentral